Molecule: long non-coding RNA, 1016 nt
Filed under: Coturnix japonica (Japanese quail)
Lineage: Eukaryota; Metazoa; Chordata; Aves; Galliformes; Phasianidae
Description: lncRNA (ENSCJPG00005021017.1)
Source: RNAcentral
UUCUUCUGUAAGUUGCACAUUCAGUAAAAUUAUUCAUGCUUUAUAUGAUGUUGUGAUGUGGAAUACUGAUAGCAAAAUUACAAAAUUAUUAAACCAUGACACAUGUAAACCAUAUAUAGGUUGUGAGUAAGUUUUACCAAGCAAGACUGUAGCUGCUGAGAGUCUGAGAAAGGACUUUUAAUGGAAUAAGGAAAAUAUCUCCUAAAUCAAUAUAGCAAAGAGAGCAAGUUUUUUGUUUUUUGUUUUGGUUUUUUUUUUUACUCAUUAUCUUCUAUUUAAAGAAUCGUUUAAGUGUAUUCCAUGUACCUCCUAAAGUUUUGGGGAUUUAUUGCUGAAAAUGUCUGGCACUUAUGUUUGGUGACCCUAUAAGAUACUUUUAUGUUAAUCUUUCUCAAAAGGGAGUGUGCUUCUGCAAACAGUUAUGUGCAGGGUGAGGCUACAUGCAAAGCUUAACCCAGGUCCCAGUUGCAAACAUUCAGGCUCAAGCUUGAACUCCUUUGUCUAAUUACGCUUUCUCAGAGGGCUGCUGUAAAGCAUAAUUCAUUGAUUUUAGAGGGGUCUUGAAUGGACUUGUAGGUAUCUCUCCACAUCUAUUGCUUUUAAUUUAGGCUUUCUAAAAGGCCUCAUUCUCAUUGGACUAAUUCUCAUUCUCUGGCCAAGUUUUCUGUGCCCUUAGUGGAUCAGAACAUUGCUAGCUGUAGCAUUUUGACAUGUAGAUGCGUGGAAAGCACUGCUCCCACACUUUUUUACUUUCUCUUCCAAGGAAUAAAAUGAAGAAUUUGAUAAUGGAGUUGGUGGUACUUCCACUUUUGUAAAUGGAUGUGGAAGAAGCUGCUAUUGCAACAAGUCCCUCCAUCUGUGAACCCAGCAAGGUGGGUGGCACCAUCUGAAGAUAUGGGACUUGGAUACUUCCACAGCCAGCAGCAAAAAUUUGGGAGGAAAGUGUAGCCAAGGGAUUUGUUUUGCAUCCAAAUCAAUGACAGAAAUAAAACCGCAUGACCUUCAUUUAGUGACCA